RNAcentral lists this ribosomal RNA (439 nucleotides) under uncultured bacterium. Its description in RNAcentral is "partial 16S ribosomal RNA". It matches the Rfam family "Bacterial small subunit ribosomal RNA", at positions 339 to 795 of the family's 1533-position model. The record is from RNAcentral.
CUACGGGGCGCUCCAGUGAGGAAUAUUGCACAAUGGGGGGAACCCUGAUGCAGCAACGCCGCGUGGAGGAUGACGCAUUUCGGUGUGUAAACUCCUUUUAUAUGUCAAGAAAAUGACGGUAGCAUAUGAAUAAGCACCGGCUAACUCCGUGCCAACAGCCGCGGUAAUACGGAGGGUGCAAGCGUUACUCGGAAUCACUGGGCGUAAAGGACACGUAGGCGGGUUGGAAAGUCAGGUGUGAAAUCCUACAGCUUAACUGUAGAACUGCACUUGAAACUUCUAAUCUAGAGUAUGGGAGGGGGAGAUGGAAUUAGUGGUGUAGGGGUAAAAUCCGUAGAUAUCACUAGGAAUACCUAAAGCGAAGGCGAUCUCCUGGAACAUUACUGACGCUAAGGCGUGAAAGCGUGGGGAGCAAACAGGAUUAGAUACCCCGGUAGUC